This 549-nucleotide long non-coding RNA is filed under the name Olea europaea subsp. europaea. The record is from RNAcentral. Lineage: Eukaryota; Viridiplantae; Streptophyta; Magnoliopsida; Lamiales; Oleaceae.
ACUGCAUCAACCUAAAGAAAUACUUUUUCUAGCAUAAAUUCUCAUGGCAGGAUCUAUUUUCUCAGGACCCAAAUUUGCAAUACAAAAUAAAGACACUCUUAAGUCGUACACGUCUUUAAAAUGGUUUUUUAGCCCAGAAACUUGGUAAGUACGCGUUGGUCUUUUCGCUUUCCAACCAAUAUUUCUGAAUUCCCAAUGGAUCUUGUCCUCAAUUCAACUUUCUAGCCACCUUUACCACCGAGAUUUCUCAACUAAUGCCGAAAUCGUUACAGACCAAAGAUUUAGGUUCGAUUUUGAUUUUCGUUUGGGUUCCAAUUGGAAGUGGAGAAGAUGGUUGCGAAGUUGGUAGUGGUUGUAGGUUUAGUUGUGGUGGACUCGUGCCAUAGUCUCAAAUAGGCUUUCUUUGAAGGCGUAGGUUGGCCUGGGUUCUUGAUCUGUGGUUCGACAUAGGUCCGAAGGGCUGUCUCUUGUGUGCGAUGGUUGAGCAUGAAUGGAGCAACGACGGUGGCUGCAGGCAGGUGGUUGUGAUUUUGGUUUGGGAGUGGGGAG